This 1470-nucleotide ribosomal RNA is filed under the name Lacticaseibacillus rhamnosus. RNAcentral's name for it is "bacterial SSU rRNA". It matches the Rfam family "Bacterial small subunit ribosomal RNA". Lineage: Bacteria; Bacillati; Bacillota; Bacilli; Lactobacillales; Lactobacillaceae. The record is from RNAcentral.
UAAUACAUGCAAGUCGAACGAGUUCUGAUUAUUGAAAGGUGCUUGCAUCUUGAUUUAAUUUUGAACGAGUGGCGGACGGGUGAGUAACACGUGGGUAACCUGCCCUUAAGUGGGGGAUAACAUUUGGAAACAGAUGCUAAUACCGCAUAAAUCCAAGAACCGCAUGGUUCUUGGCUGAAAGAUGGCGUAAGCUAUCGCUUUUGGAUGGACCCGCGGCGUAUUAGCUAGUUGGUGAGGUAACGGCUCACCAAGGCAAUGAUACGUAGCCGAACUGAGAGGUUGAUCGGCCACAUUGGGACUGAGACACGGCCCAAACUCCUACGGGAGGCAGCAGUAGGGAAUCUUCCACAAUGGACGCAAGUUUGAUGGAGCAACGCCGCGUGAGUGAAGAAGGCUUUCGGGUCGUAAAACUCUGUUGUUGGAGAAGAAUGGUCGGCAGAGUAACUGUUGUCGGCGUGACGGUAUCCAACCAGAAAGCCACGGCUAACUACGUGCCAGCAGCCGCGGUAAUACGUAGGUGGCAAGCGUUAUCCGGAUUUAUUGGGCGUAAAGCGAGCGCAGGCGGUUUUUUAAGUCUGAUGUGAAAGCCCUCGGCUUAACCGAGGAAGUGCAUCGGAAACUGGGAAACUUGAGUGCAGAAGAGGACAGUGGAACUCCAUGUGUAGCGGUGAAAUGCGUAGAUAUAUGGAAGAACACCAGUGGCGAAGGCGGCUGUCUGGUCUGUAACUGACGCUGAGGCUCGAAAGCAUGGGUAGCGAACAGGAUUAGAUACCCUGGUAGUCCAUGCCGUAAACGAUGAAUGCUAGGUGUUGGAGGGUUUCCGCCCUUCAGUGCCGCAGCUAACGCAUUAAGCAUUCCGCCUGGGGAGUACGACCGCAAGGUUGAAACUCAAAGGAAUUGACGGGGGCCCGCACAAGCGGUGGAGCAUGUGGUUUAAUUCGAAGCAACGCGAAGAACCUUACCAGGUCUUGACAUCUUUUGAUCACCUGAGAGAUCAGGUUUCCCCUUCGGGGGCAAAAUGACAGGUGGUGCAUGGUUGUCGUCAGCUCGUGUCGUGAGAUGUUGGGUUAAGUCCCGCAACGAGCGCAACCCUUAUGACUAGUUGCCAGCAUUUAGUUGGGCACUCUAGUAAGACUGCCGGUGACAAACCGGAGGAAGGUGGGGAUGACGUCAAAUCAUCAUGCCCCUUAUGACCUGGGCUACACACGUGCUACAAUGGAUGGUACAACGAGUUGCGAGACCGCGAGGUCAAGCUAAUCUCUUAAAGCCAUUCUCAGUUCGGACUGUAGGCUGCAACUCGCCUACACGAAGUCGGAAUCGCUAGUAAUCGCGGAUCAGCACGCCGCGGUGAAUACGUUCCCGGGCCUUGUACACACCGCCCGUCACACCAUGAGAGUUUGUAACACCCGAAGCCGGUGGCGUAACCCUUUUAGGGAGCGAGCCGUCUAAGGUGGGACAAAUGAUUAGGGU